UUGUCUCUCUUGAGUGGAUCCUGAGUACGACGGAGCACGUGAAAUUCCGUCGGAAUCUGGGAGGACCAUCUCCUAAGGCUAAAUACUCUCUAGUGACCGAUAGUGAACCAGUACCGUGAGGGAAAGGUGAAAAGCACCCCGGAAGGGGAGUGAAAUAGAACCUGAAACCGUGUGCUUACAAGUAGUCAGAGCCCGUUAAUGGGUGAUGGCGUGCCUUUUGUAGAAUGAACCGGCGAGUUACGAUUUGAUGCAAGGUUAAGCAGUAAAUGUGGAGCCGUAGCGAAAGCGAGUCUGAAUAGGGCGUUUAGUAUUUGGUCGUAGACCCGAAACCAGGUGAUCUACCCUUGGUCAGGUUGAAGUUCAGGUAACACUGAAUGGAGGACCGAACCGACUUACGUUGAAAAGUGAGCGGAUGAACUGAGGGUAGCGGAGAAAUUCCAAUCGAACCUGGAGAUAGCUGGUUCUCUCCGAAAUAGCUUUAGGGCUAGCCUCAAGUGAUGAUUAUUGGAGGUAGAGCACUGUUUGGACGAGGGGCCCCUCUCGGGUUACCGAAUUCAGACAAACUCCGAAUGCCAAUUAAUUUAACUUGGGAGUCAGAACAUGGGUGAUAAGGUCCGUGUUCGAAAGGGAAACAGCCCAGACCACCAGCUAAGGUCCCAAAAUAUAUGUUAAGUGGAAAAGGAUGUGGCGUUGCCCAGACAACUAGGAUGUUGGCUUAGAAGCAGCCAUCAUUUAAAGAGUGCGUAAUAGCUCACUAGUCGAGUGACACUGCGCCGAAAAUGUACCGGGGCUAAACAUAUUACCGAAGCUGUGGAUUGUCCUUUGGACAAUGGUAGGAGAGCGUUCUAAGGGCGUUGAAGCAUGAUCGUAAGGACAUGUGGAGCGCUUAGAAGUGAGAAUGCCGGUGUGAGUAGCGAAAGACGGGUGAGAAUCCCGUCCACCGAUUGACUAAGGUUUCCAGAGGAAGGCUCGUCCGCUCUGGGUUAGUCGGGUCCUAAGCUGAGGCCGACAGGCGUAGGCGAUGGAUAACAGGUUGAUAUUCCUGUACCACCUAUAAUCGUUUUAAUCGAUGGGGGGACGCAGUAGGAUAGGCGAAGCGUGCGAUUGGAUUGCACGUCUAAGCAGUAAGGCUGAGUAUUAGGCAAAUCCGGUACUCGUUAAGGCUGAGCUGUGAUGGGGAGAAGACAUUGUGUCUUCGAGUCGUUGAUUUCACACUGCCGAGAAAAGCCUCUAGAUAGAAAAUAGGUGCCCGUACCGCAAACCGACACAGGUAGUCAAGAUGAGAAUUCUAAGGUGAGCGAGCGAACUCUCGUUAAGGAACUCGGCAAAAUGACCCCGUAACUUCGGGAGAAGGGGUGCUCUUUAGGGUUAACGCCCAGAAGAGCCGCAGUGAAUAGGCCCAAGCGACUGUUUAUCAAAAACACAGGUCUCUGCUAAACCGUAAGGUGAUGUAUAGGGGCUGACGCCUGCCCGGUGCUGGAAGGUUAAGAGGAGUGGUUAGCUUCUGCGAAGCUACGAAUCGAAGCCCCAGUAAACGGCGGCCGUAACUAUAACGGUCCUAAGGUAGCGAAAUUCCUUGUCGGGUAAGUUCCGACCCGCACGAAAGGCGUAACGAUUUGGGCACUGUCUCAACGAGAGACUCGGUGAAAUCAUAGUACCUGUGAAGAUGCAGGUUACCCGCGACAGGACGGAAAGACCCCGUGGAGCUUUACUGUAGCCUGAUAUUGAAAUUCGGCACAGCUUGUACAGGAUAGGUAGGAGCCUUUGAAACGUGAGCGCUAGCUUACGUGGAGGCGCUGGUGGGAUACUACCCUAGCUGUGUUGGCUUUCUAACCCGCACCACUUAUCGUGGUGGGAGACAGUGUCAGGCGGGCAGUUUGACUGGGGCGGUCGCCUCCUAAAAGGUAACGGAGGCGCUCAAAGGUUCCCUCAGAAUGGUUGGAAAUCAUUCAUAGAGUGUAAAGGCAUAAGGGAGCUUGACUGCGAGACCUACAAGUCGAGCAGGGUCGAAAGACGGACUUAGUGAUCCGGUGGUUCCGCAUGGAAGGGCCAUCGCUCAACGGAUAAAAGCUACCCCGGGGAUAACAGGCUUAUCUCCCCCAAGAGUUCACAUCGACGGGGAGGUUUGGCACCUCGAUGUCGGCUCAUCGCAUCCUGGGGCUGUAGUCGGUCCCAAGGGUUGGGCUGUUCGCCCAUUAAAGCGGUACGCGAGCUGGGUUCAGAACGUCGUGAGACAGUUCGGUCCCUAUCCGUCGUGGGCGUAGGAAAUUUGAGAGGAGCUGUCCUUAGUACGAGAGGACCGGGAUGGACAUACCUCUGGUGUACCAGUUGUCGUGCCAACGGCAUAGCUGGGUAGCUAUGUGUGGACGGGAUAAGUGCUGAAAGCAUCUAAGCAUGAAGCCCCCCUCAAGAUGAGAUUUCCCAACUUCGGUUAUAAGAUCCCUCAAAGAUGAUGAGGUUAAUAGGUUCGAGGUGGAAGCAUGGUGACAUGUGGAGCUGACGAAUACUAAUCGAUCGAAGAC
RNAcentral lists this ribosomal RNA (2522 nucleotides) under Staphylococcus aureus. RNAcentral describes it as "partial 23S ribosomal RNA". It matches the Rfam family "Bacterial large subunit ribosomal RNA", at positions 388 to 2925 of the family's 2925-position model. The record is from RNAcentral. Lineage: Bacteria; Bacillati; Bacillota; Bacilli; Caryophanales; Staphylococcaceae.